UACGAAGGGGGCUAGCGUUGCUCGGAAUCACUGGGCGUAAAGGGUGCGUAGGCGGGUCUUUAAGUCAGGGGUGAAAUCCUGGAGCUCAACUCCAGAACUGCCUUCGAUACUGGCGAUCUUGAGUCCGGGAGAGGUGAGUGGAACUCCGAGUGUAGAGGUGAAAUUCGUAGAUAUUCGGAAGAACACCAGUGGCGAAGGCGGCUCACUGGCCCGGUACUGACGCUGAGGUGCGAAAGCGUGGGGAGCAAACAGG
Molecule: ribosomal RNA, 253 nt
Filed under: uncultured bacterium
Lineage: Bacteria
Description: partial 16S ribosomal RNA
Rfam family: Bacterial small subunit ribosomal RNA
Source: RNAcentral